RNAcentral lists this ribosomal RNA (432 nucleotides) under uncultured bacterium. RNAcentral describes it as "bacterial SSU rRNA". It matches the Rfam family "Bacterial small subunit ribosomal RNA", at positions 368 to 793 of the family's 1533-position model. The record is from RNAcentral.
ACAAUGGGCGCAAGCCUGAUGGAGCAACACCGCGUGAGUGAAGAAGGGUUUCGGCUCGUAAAGCUCUGUUGUUAAAGAAGAACACGUAUGAGAGUAACUGUUCAUACGUUGACGGUAUUUAACCAGAAAGUCACGGCUAACUACGUGCCAGCAGCCGCGGUAAUACGUAGGUGGCAAGCGUUAUCCGGAUUUAUUGGGCGUAAAGAGAGUGCAGGCGGUUUCUAAGUCUGAUGUGAAAGCCUUCGGCUUAACCGGAGAAGUGCAUCGGAAACUGGAUAACUUGAGUGCAGAAGAGGGUAGUGGAACUCCAUGUGUAGCGGUGGAAUGCGUAGAUAUAUGGAAGAACACCAGUGGCGAAGGCGGCUACCUGGUCUGCAACCGACGCUGAGACUCGAAAGCAUGGGUAGCGAACAGGAUUAGAUACCCUGGUAG